Molecule: transfer RNA, 66 nt
Filed under: Dorcus hopei
Lineage: Eukaryota; Metazoa; Arthropoda; Insecta; Coleoptera; Lucanidae
Description: Dynodorcus curvidens hopei tRNA-Trp
Source: RNAcentral
AAGGAUUUAGGUUAAAAAAACCUGUGACCUUCAAAGUCGCCAUUAAAAAUUAAAUUUUAAGCCUUA